GGGUUGUGAGGUUAAGCGACUAAGCGUACACGGUGGAUGCCCUGGCAGUCAGAGGCGAUGAAGGACGUGCUAAUCUGCGAUAAGCGUCGGUAAGGUGAUAUGAACCGUUAUAACCGGCGAUUUCCGAAUGGGGAAACCCAGUGUGAUUCGUCACACUAUCAUUACGUGAAUACAUAGCGUAAUGAAGCGAACCGGGGGAACUGAAACAUCUAAGUACCCCGAGGAAAAGAAAUCAACCGAGAUUCCCCCAGUAGCGGCGAGCGAACGGGGAGGAGCCCAGAGCCUGAAUCAGCAUGUGUGUUAGUGGAAGCGUCUGGAAAGGCGCGCGAUACAGGGUGACAGCCCCGUACACAAAAGCGCAUAUGCUGUGAGCUCGAUGAGUAGGGCGGGACACGUGGUAUCCUGUCUGAAUAUGGGGGGACCAUCCUCCAAGGCUAAAUACUCCUGACUGACCGAUAGUGAACCAGUACCGUGAGGGAAAGGCGAAAAGAACCCCGGCGAGGGGAGUGAAAAAGAACCUGAAACCGUGUACGUACAAGCAGUGGGAGCCCCACCACCAAAGCAUUCUCUGGUGUUGAAGGCCCUGCAAAGCAGCAUCGCGGUGGCGGAGCGUCGUUUGCGACGCCCAACACACAAAACAAGCGGUGAGUGCUUUGGGGUGGGGUGACUGCGUACCUUUUGUAUAAUGGGUCAGCGACUUAUAUUCUGUAGCAAGGUUAACCGCAUAGGGGAGCCGGAGGGAAACCGAGUCUUAAUUGGGCGUUAAGUUGCAGGGUAUAGACCCGAAACCCGGUGAUCUAGCCAUGGGCAGGUUGAAGGUUGGGUAACACUAACUGGAGGACCGAACCGACUAAUGUUGAAAAAUUAGCGGAUGACCUGUGGCUGGGGGUGAAAGGCCAAUCAAACCGGGAGAUAGCUGGUUCUCCCCGAAAGCUAUUUAGGUAGCGCCUCGUGAAUU
This 958-nucleotide ribosomal RNA is filed under the name Salmonella enterica subsp. enterica. RNAcentral's name for it is "partial 23S ribosomal RNA". It matches the Rfam family "Bacterial large subunit ribosomal RNA", at positions 1 to 890 of the family's 2925-position model. Lineage: Bacteria; Pseudomonadati; Pseudomonadota; Gammaproteobacteria; Enterobacterales; Enterobacteriaceae. The record is from RNAcentral.